RNAcentral lists this long non-coding RNA (210 nucleotides) under Mytilus galloprovincialis (Mediterranean mussel). The record is from RNAcentral. Lineage: Eukaryota; Metazoa; Mollusca; Bivalvia; Mytilida; Mytilidae.
CAGGAAAGACAUGAACCUCCUGUACGCAGAUUCAAUUUAGUUGUAGAUAAUAUGUUACAUACAAUGAUAUAGAAGCUACGAUUUUUCGUUAGAGUAAUAUUAAACGUUCUUAAAAAGUCCCUUUUGCAGAUAUCAAGGCGAUCAGAAAAUCGCAAAAAAAUCAUUUGAAAUGUGUUUUUCUGACACUGUACGCAGACAAAUACCCCCAAA